CAGUGGUUCAGGGCUCAGACUAGUAAGAAGGUAGAUUUAGUAGAGCAUUUCCAAAUUUCAAUUGUUUGCAAACUCCCUGCAAGUAGAGUUGCCAGAUAAAUGCAAAAUACCCAGCUGUUCAGCCUGUCUUUUCUCCUGACCACCCCCACCUUUCCAGUAUCUCUCUCUCUGUCUCUCUCUCUCUUUUUUUUUUAAUGUUUGCAAAAUGGAAAAAGUAACGUAAGUGGGUUGCAAAAUCCUUUUCUGGAUGAACUCCGAAAUAUACCUCCAGGCUCAUAGUGUACGAUCCCUCUCCCAAACAUCGACACAGACCCUGGGAAUCAAAUUUCAGUGAAAAGGCACUAAGCCUCUCUCCUGCACUGUUUUGUUUUGUUGUUGUUGUUGUUGUAGGAAAGCUCCAGGAGCUUUUUAAGACCUGAGAUGCCUACAUUGACAAUACUGA
RNAcentral lists this long non-coding RNA (442 nucleotides) under Pan troglodytes (chimpanzee). Its description in RNAcentral is "long non-coding RNA NONPTRT008961". Lineage: Eukaryota; Metazoa; Chordata; Mammalia; Primates; Hominidae. The record is from RNAcentral.